RNAcentral lists this transfer RNA (77 nucleotides) under Clostridium sp. CAG:465. Its description in RNAcentral is "transfer RNA-Met(CAT)". It matches the Rfam family "tRNA". Rfam says of the family: Transfer RNA (tRNA) molecules are approximately 80 nucleotides in length. Their secondary structure includes four short double-helical elements and three loops (D, anti-codon, and T loops). RNAcentral also lists the same sequence under 4 other names. Lineage: Bacteria; Bacillati; Bacillota; Clostridia; Eubacteriales; Clostridiaceae. The record is from RNAcentral.
GGGCCUUUAGCUCAGUUGGUCAGAGCACCCGGCUCAUAACCGGAUGGUCCGGGGUUCGAAUCCCUGAAGGCCCACCA